GUUUGGAGCAUUGGGGGGUGGGUGUCAGGGUCCUGGAGAAAGUGACUUGCUGAGCAGUUUUUGGUUAAAGUCUGCAGCUUUGGAGGUGUGGACCAGACCUGAGUCUGUAUUGCAGCAGACUAGCGUAUGUGGCUCAACAAGGCAGGGUUCUGGAUUCCCAAGCUGGCAGGGAAAACGGGCUCAGAGGUAACUUCAGCACA
This is a long non-coding RNA of Dermochelys coriacea (leatherback sea turtle), 200 nucleotides long. RefSeq lists it as uncharacterized. Lineage: Eukaryota; Metazoa; Chordata; Testudines; Dermochelyidae. The record is from RefSeq and is a predicted model, not a curated record. The transcript has 5 exons.